Long non-coding RNA from Haliotis rubra (blacklip abalone), 516 nucleotides. RefSeq lists it as uncharacterized. The transcript has 3 exons. The record is from RefSeq and is a predicted model, not a curated record. Lineage: Eukaryota; Metazoa; Mollusca; Gastropoda; Lepetellida; Haliotidae.
CUGAAGCUCCACACCCAAUGAAGUACAGGAGCACUGACACGAAUGAAUAGCUGUCGCAGGUUUUACUCCAUCUCGAACGUCUACAAAUUACCAGACAAGAAGUCCUGACUCUUCUCCUUAUCACAGAGCCGGGGCGAUACCUGGCAGUCAUGGGGGAUCUGCACCAAGACGCUGCCCAAUAUGCAGCUAUGAUUCCUCGUUAUGCCUCGAGACAUGAUGUUGGAGCUGCAGAUGAGGAACAUUAUGUGUUCACAGUGUACAUAGGCCACUGCUUGCUGGUUGGGAUGACAACAGCGGACGUGCUCAUGAUGAUAGAGGACAGAAGGAGAAUGUUUCUGAAUCUUCUAUAAUGGGAUAAGACUGUGUUGGAGUCUAUUGCAAAACCAAUACAUUUAUAUGGCCAAUACUUGUACUGCCACUAUUUGGUCUCUAUUUUUAGAGAUUUGUAUUGAUUUUUAUAUUGUAUAAUUUUGUAUAAUUGUACAAUACAACCAGUCAUUAUGUCACCUUCCUUCU